Arvicola amphibius (Eurasian water vole) is the source of this 1166-nucleotide long non-coding RNA. RefSeq lists it as uncharacterized. NCBI's taxonomy places the organism in Eukaryota, Metazoa, Chordata, Mammalia, Rodentia, Cricetidae. The transcript is spliced from 3 exons. The record is from RefSeq and is a predicted model, not a curated record.
CCUGGCUGCGAGAACAGUUCCUUCCUCCUUGGCUGCUCCUGGGUGAUGAGCUUCACAGGGUGAGUUGUAGCGUGUUCGCCACCAGGUGGUGCCAUCAGCCCUACUGUGUGUUCCCUGUAAAGAUGCCACAGGACUGAGCGACCUUGGACUUCUGAAUUUCCCAGGAGAUCUCGGGGCUUUCUGCUGCAUUCAUGCUGUUCCAUGAGACCACCCUGGGGGCAGAGAGUGAGCACUCACUAAACACCUGGGCCUUGCAACACCUGCUACUCACCUCGAACUGUUCCUGGUCUACAAAGUCAAAGAAAUUAUGACUACAGCUUCUAUCAGCAACAGCAGCAGCAACAAACUUAACCCCUCCUCCUGUGCUCCUGGAACAUCGGCUGGAGGCUGUCCGGCGAGGCUCAGUGCAUCCCGGUGGGUGUGGAGCUGCAAGGCCAGAGGCUGAGACUUCCAUUCUGCGGCUGUGAUAAAACACCCUGACAAAAAUCAGUAUAAGGGAGGAGUUUAGAAUGCACGAUUCCAGAUUGCAGUAUAUUGUUCAGAGCAAGUCAAGGCAUGAGCUCCAAGCAGCUAGUCACAUUAUAUCCACAUCUAAGAGCAGAGAGAGGUGGGUGCAUGCAUGCUUUGUGCUCAACUGGCUUUCUCUGCUCUCACAUAGUCCAGGACCCCAAAUCAGGCAAUGAGGUCCCUACUUUCAGGGACCCCUGUGUGCCCUGGUUGUUUGUUUUUGGUUUUGUUUGUUUGCUUGUUAUUUGACAUAAACUAGAAGAACCACUAGUUUGAUAUUUUCCAGUUGAGAAAACGCCUCAAUCAGAUUACCUAUAGGCAAGUCUAGGGGGCAUUUUCCUGACCCAUGGAUCAAUAUGGGAGGGCCCAGAUCACCAUGAGUGUUGCCACCCCUGGGUAAGUGGCCCGGGUUUUUUAGAAAACAGCCUGAACAAGCUAUGGGGAGCAAGCCAGUAAUCAGCACACAUUUAUGGCUUCUGCUUCAGUUCCUGUCUCCGGGUUUCUGCCUGAUGGAGUGUGAUCUGAGAGUUAUAAGAGGAAAUAAACCCUUUCUUCCCCCCAUUCACUUUUGGGCAUAGUGUUUUUCUCAUAGCAAUAGAAACCCUAACACACUGUGUCUUCCACAUCAACUAAAGCAGUGAAGACAAUCUCCCACAGAC